AGAGAGAACAGGCAGAGCAGGAGAGACACGGCUUGGAAAUCAAACCGCAGAGUUUUCUUUGUUCAGUUUGUUCAAAGGUAGAGGCAAUAUGCACUCUUUAUUGCUUUAAUGGCUUGGCAUUUUUCAGCAGCAAGCCAAGAGUGAAAAACAGGUAGAGAGAAAAUUUAGCAGAGAGAACAGGCAGAGCAGGAGAGACACGGCUUGGAAAUCAAACCGCAGAGUUUUCUUUGUUCAGUUUGUUCAAAGGUUGAGGCAAAAUAUGCACUCUUUAUUGCUUUAUUGGCUUGUGCAUUUCUCAGCAGCAAGCCAAAGAGUGAAAAACAGGUAGAGAGAAAAUUUAGCAGAGAGAACAGAGAGAGCAGGAAAGACACGGUUUUGAAAUCAAACCGUAGAGUUUUCUUUGUUUGUUCAGUUUGUUCAAAGGUUGAGGCAAAAUAUGCACUCUUUAUUGCUUUAUUGGCUUGUGCAUUUCUCAGCAGCAAGCCAAAGAGUGAAAAACAGGUAGAGAGAAAAUUUAGCAGAGAGAACAGACAGAGCAGGAGAGACACGGUUUUGAAAUCAAACCGCAAUAAGAUUCUUGGUUUGGCAAAAUUUCUCACAAACCACAGGGUGAAAUACAGAUGGAAAGAAGGCAGAGACAACAGGUGGAGCAGGACAGAGGAUAGAGGGGAUGGGGGGUUGGGAUGUGACAGAGAAGACUGGAGAUCUGGUCCUUGUUCUUCUGCACACUGUGAACAAAAAAGAAGAAAAAAAUAAUAAUUUUAUUAAAAUUAUAUCACAUGGUAAUUGUAUGAACUAAUUGUGACUACUGAAAAAGGACAAAACAAAUAUUGAAGCUAAACUGUUGUUGGCUGCCAUGUGCAAAAAGUUGCAUAAUUGGGCACUUUUUAAAAGAAUAUUUAUUUAAAUUCAGCAAUAAUAUUUUUAAUACAAAUAUGAUUGAGUGAAUCAUUA
Long non-coding RNA from Oreochromis aureus, 954 nucleotides. The record is from Ensembl. NCBI's taxonomy places the organism in Eukaryota, Metazoa, Chordata, Actinopteri, Cichliformes, Cichlidae.